RNAcentral lists this long non-coding RNA (375 nucleotides) under Mytilus galloprovincialis (Mediterranean mussel). Lineage: Eukaryota; Metazoa; Mollusca; Bivalvia; Mytilida; Mytilidae. The record is from RNAcentral.
CGAAAAUGUCUUCUGAAACAUCAAAAUCAACCCGGAUUCGGUUAAAUACGCAUUGGGGUCACCCACUUUCACACCCAAUACCUCGGCACUUUUGUAUGGCUAGGAAUUAUAGACGCUGCCCUAACGAAUAGCUAUUGGAUAUAACUUUAGCGGGUGGGUAUAGACUUUCUGAGGUAAGCAUUAUUAAGGCCGAAAAUGUCCGAUACAUUUAAAUCAACACAAAUUUGAUAAAACAUGCAUUGGUGACACUCACUUACCGACCAAUUGUCUUGGUAGUUCUUGAUGGCUAGGGAUUAUAGACGUUGUCUACAAGAACAGCUAUUGUAUAUAACUGCAUCGUGGUUGAAAGAAUUUCUGGGGUAAGCAGUCUACAAG